This 2782-nucleotide ribosomal RNA is filed under the name Glycine max (soybean). Its description in RNAcentral is "bacterial LSU rRNA". The stretch from base 1396 to 2782 matches the Rfam family "Bacterial large subunit ribosomal RNA". The record is from RNAcentral. Lineage: Eukaryota; Viridiplantae; Streptophyta; Magnoliopsida; Fabales; Fabaceae.
CCUAAAAUAGGUGGUAUGAUGAUUGUUUUGAGUGGUGCAACCCUCUUUUGUAAAAUCACUUGUGCACCCAACAUCUUCAUGAUUUGUGUACAUAGGGACUCAUUAGGUAGGUUUUUUCUUAUUUUUAGUUUCAAUACAAACUUAGGUACUCAUAUGGGACACCUUAGGUUUGUCAUACUUUUUGGUAGGAAUUAUCAACAUGAAAAUACAGAAAAAGGUAUGUUUUAUUGCAUUACUUUUCUUAAUUUUUUAAAUAGUGAUCAACGGGUUCCCAUGAACCCUAAGAGAAUAAAGGUCAUUCCUGAGUGGCCCGCUCCAUCAAGUAUAAGAAAAAUUUGGGGCUUCCACGACUUAACAAACUCUUACAAAAAGGUUUGUCCUAUAUUUUUCUAUACUUGUAGCACCACUCAUUGGGUUGGUGAGGAACCAUGUUCCUUCAUGGGAAGAUGCCCAGGAAAUGGGUUUUCAGACCUUACCUUACUUCAAUAUACCAAACACCACUAAUACAUAUGUUUUUGUUCUUUUUACAGGUGUUGAGGAAAAAAGCCUAGAGUUUCAAGAACCUCGGGAUUUGAGGUCAAAUCCUUUUCAAGGGGGAGGGAAUGAUGCAAUCCUACCUCGCAAGGGCAUUGGAUAGAAGACUCCAAGAAGGUUGGGCCAGAGAUGCAAGAGAAGGCCCUAGGGUUCUCAUGAGCCUUAGGGUAGAUUUUGGGCCCAUGGGCUAAGUAUGAGCCCGCUUAUCUUUGUACAUAUUAGAUUAAGGUUUCAUUAUUUUUUGGCCUUGUAUUUAGGGCUCCAUAAUAUAGGUAAGGUACCCUAGAAAUAUAGGAUUUUUCAGCCCUUGUAUUUUAGUGCACCUAGACUAGUUUUUGUAUUAGGGGUAGUUUUGUAAUUUCACAUGCACUAAGUGAAUAUUUGAUGUGUGUGUUGGGAAAUAAAUUUAAUUGAAUUGGUACAAGCCCAAUCCAAUUAAAUUUUAGAGGGGGAGGUGAGCAUUUUCUUACUACACCUCAUUGUCACAUCAUAUAGUCACACUUUGUGCAUGUCCUUCAUGCUUUAGAUGCCUCAUGACACCUAAGCACACUUAGUGGAGAAUAUUGGAAUUGAUCUUGGAUUAGUGGGCUGAACCAUAACUGAAAUUCACUAAUCAUAAUUAGUGAAAUUUUGGCUCCAAAAUUUGGCUCAACAAAUUCAAUUUCAAAUUCAAGUGAAAUUUGAAUUGAAAUUCAAAUUUCCCUCCAAUUUUGUGCGACACUAGGCUAUAAAUAAAGGUCAUGUGUGUGCAUUUUUUUCAACUUUGAUCAUUUGAAAAUUAAACUUCAUAUUUCAGAGCUCUUUUUAGAGCACAAAAUUUCGUGCUCUUCUCUUCCUCUCCCUUCAUUCAUCUCCUUCUUCCUCCAAGCUCUUAUCCAUGGCCUCCUAUGGUGGUGAGCUUCUUCUAGACUCAUCUUCUCCUUGAAGUGGUGUCUCCUCUCUCUCUUCCUUCUCCAUUCUGCUACCAUUCAUCUUCCAAGAAGCAAAGGAAUCCAUUGGUGAAGAAGAUCCUCGGCCUACAAGCUCCAAUGGAGCUUACAUCAGUACUUGUACCCGAAAUUGGCACAGGUGGGUAGGUAGAGAAUACCUAAGGGUGCGAGACAACUUUCUCUAAGGAACUUGAAAAAUAGCCCUGUAACUUCGGGAGAAGGGGUGCCUCCUCACAAAGGGGUCGUAGUGACUAGGCCCGGGCGACUGUUUACCAAAAACACAGGUCUUCUCAAAGUCGUAAGACCAUGUAUGGGGGCUGAUGCUUGCCCAGUGCCCGAAGGUCAAGGAAGUUGGUGACCUGAUGACAGGGGAGCCAACGACCGAGGCCCUAGUGAACAGAAAUCGUAAUUAUAACGAUCCUAAGGUAGCAAAAUUCCUUAUCGGGUAAGUUUCAACCCGCAUGAAAGGUGUAACGAUCUGGGCACUAUUUCUUGGGAUUGGCUUUGGGCUUUUCCUGUGCAACUUAGGUGGAGGGCAAAGAAGGCCUCCUUCUGGGGGGGAAGAGCUAUUAGUGAGAUACCACUCUAGAAGAGUUAGAAUUCUAACCUUGUGCGAGGACCUACGGGCUGAGGGACAGUCUCAAGUAGACAAAGGCCUUCCAAAAGGUAACGGACGCGUGCAAAGGUUUCCUCGGGCCAGACAGAGAUUGUCCCUUGAGUGCAAAGGCAGAAGGGAGCUUGACUGCAAGACCCACCCGUCGAGCAGGGAGGAAAGUCGGCCUUAGUGAUCCGACAAUGCCGAGUGGAAGGACUGCCGCUCAACAGAUAAAAGUUACUCCAAGGAUAACAGGCUAAUCAUCCCUAAGAGCUCACAUCGAUGGGAAGGUUUGGCACCUCGAUGUCGUCUCUUUGCCACCUGGGGCUAUAGUAUGUUCCAAGGGUUGGGUUGUUCGCCCAUUAAAGCGAUACGUGAGCUGGGUUCAAAACGUCGUGAGACAGUUCGGUCCAUAUCCAAUGUGGGCGUUAGAGCAUUGAGAGGAAUUUUCCCUAGUACGAGAGGACUGGGAAGGAUACACCUCUAGUGUGCCAGUUAUUGUGCCCACGAUAAACGUUGGGUAGCCAAGUGCAUAGCAGAUAAUUGCUGAAAGCAUCUAAGUAGUAAACCUACCCCAAGAUGAGUGCUCUCUUAUUCCGACUUCCUUAGAGCCUCCGGUAGCACAGUUGAGACAACGAUGGUGAUGCAAUCCUACCCCCAAAGGGUAUUGGAUAGAAGACUCCAAGAGGAUUGGGCUAGAGCUGCUAAAAAAGGCCCUAGGGUU